AGAACAAUCCUAUCUUUUGGUUUAUACUUUUUUCUUUGAAUUUUGUAAUCUUAGCAUUGAAUGUCACUGCAGAGAAGUCUAAUGCCAAUCUAAAACCUCCAACCUUGUAAGUGACCUGCCUUCUGCUCCAUUAUCUGAAGUAUUCCCUCCAUAUUUUUAAAGAUUUAAAAGGCACCUGCAUGUUACCUAAAACUCAAAGUGCUCUAUGAACACAGGUAGUAUCUUCUUUUUUUUCUGGAAUCAGCAAGUCCUUGAAAUAUACAAAAUUUACCUGACAGCAUUUUGGUGGAGUUUUCUAAGGUGAAAGACUUACAUCCUUAACACAGGCGUCUUGUUAUAUCCUUCUCUCCAUGUCCAAGUGGUAUAAAGUCUAAAGUGCAAAGGACCAGAAAGAUGUAAGGAGAGCUAUGAAGACAACUCUGGACUGAUUUUAACAGGGAACAAGAAAGUUGCCAUAGCCCUUAGGCAAACUGGUAAAGAAGAAGACAAACAUUAUUUUAUUAUAUUGUGUGGCUAAAUAUAGGAAUUUUCAUUAGAUUCCCAGGUAGAAAACACUGGAAGCUUUGCCAGUUAUUAAGUUUGUUUACUCCCAUCAUACAUUCUGGGAAUGAAAAAAUAUACAUAGAAUAAAUUCGUAGUCUCAUUGGACCCACUGCAAGAAAGAAUCAAACCAAGACUCCAACAAUCAUCAAAAGCCUGCAC
This 702-nucleotide long non-coding RNA is filed under the name Macaca mulatta (Rhesus monkey). RNAcentral's name for it is "lncRNA (ENSMMUG00000041860.2)". Lineage: Eukaryota; Metazoa; Chordata; Mammalia; Primates; Cercopithecidae. The record is from RNAcentral.